RNAcentral lists this ribosomal RNA (267 nucleotides) under uncultured bacterium. RNAcentral's name for it is "partial 16S ribosomal RNA". It matches the Rfam family "Bacterial small subunit ribosomal RNA", at positions 88 to 354 of the family's 1533-position model. The record is from RNAcentral.
CCGGCGACCGGCGCACGGGUGAGUAACACGUAUGGAACCUGCCCGCAGCAGGGGGAUAAGCGGAAGAAAUUCCGUCUAAUACCGCGUAACAACGUUGGGAGGCAUCUCCCGAUGUUUAAAGAUUUAUCGGCUGCGGAUGGCCAUGCGGCGCAUUAGCUAGUCGGCGGGGUAACGGCCCACCGAGGCGACGAUGCGUAGGGGUUCUGAGAGGAAGGUCCCCCACCACUGGUACUGAGACACGGACCAGACUCCUACGGAAGGCAGCAG